UUUCCGGUUGAUCCUGCCGGACCCCACUGCUAUCGGGGUGGGACUAAGCCAUGCGAGUCGGCGCCCUCCAGCCACCGGGGAGGGCGCGGCGGACGGCUCCGUAACACGUAGCUAACCUACCCUCAGGACGGGAAUAACCCCGGGAAACUGGGGCUAAUUCCCGAUAGGUGAGGAGGCCUGGAAUGGUCCCUCACCAAAAGGGUCCUGGAACCAUGCUUCCAGGGCCGCCUGAGGAUGGGGCUGCGGCCGAUCAGGUAGUUGGUGGGGUAACGGCCCACCAAGCCUAUAACCGGUACGGGCCGUGAGAGCGGGAGCCCGGAGAUGGGCACUGAGACAAGGGCCCAGGCCCUACGGGGCGCAGCAGGCGCGAAACCUCCGCAAUGCGCGCAAGCGUGACGGGGCUACCCCGAGUGCCGCCCGCUGAGGGCGGCUUUUCCCCAGUGUAAACAGCUGGGGGAAUAAGGGGAGGGCAAGUCGGGUGUCAGCCGCCGCGGUAAUACCCGCUCCCCGAGUGGUGGGGACGAUUAUUGGGCUUAAAGCGUCCGUAGCCGGCCUGGUAAGUCCCUCGUUAAAUCCAACGGCCUAACCGUUGGACUGCGGGGGAUACUGCCAGGCUAGGGGGCGGGAGAGGCCGGCGGUAUUCCCGGGGUAGGGGUGAAAUCCUAUAAUCCCGGGAGGACCACCAGUGGCGAAGGCGGCCGGCCAGAACGCGCCCGACGGUGAGGGACGAAAGCCGGGGGAGCGAACCGGAUUAGAUACCCGGGUAGUCCCGGCUGUAAACGAUGCGGGCUAGGUGUUGGCGCGACUACGAGUCGCGCCAGUGCCGCAGGGAAACCGUUAAGCCCGCCGCCUGGGGAGUACGGUCGCAAGACUGAAACUUAAAGGAAUUGGCGGGGGGGCACCACAAGGGGUGAAGCUUGCGGUUCAAUUGGAGUCAACGCCGGG
RNAcentral lists this ribosomal RNA (945 nucleotides) under uncultured archaeon. RNAcentral describes it as "bacterial SSU rRNA". It matches the Rfam family "Archaeal small subunit ribosomal RNA", at positions 1 to 922 of the family's 1478-position model. The record is from RNAcentral.